CAAGAUGUCAAAGACUUUGAACCAAGGUCCAACAUUUCAGCUUAUGGAGACAAUGACAUUGAUGUAAAAGAAAAGAAUGGAGCCAUUAAAGAUUUUGAACCUAGACCUAAUAUUUCAGCUUAUGGAGAAAAUGUCAUUGAUGCUGAUGAAAAGAAGAAACCAGUCAAAGAUUUUGAACCAAGACCCAAUAUUUCAGCUUAUGGAGACAAUGACAUUGAUGUUAAGGAAAAUAAGGGAGCCACCAACGAUUUUGAGCCAAGACCCAACAUUUCAGCUUAUGGAGACAAUGUCAUUGAUGAUAAUAAAAUGAAGAAACCAGUUGAAUAUUUCCAACCAAGACCAAACAUUUCAGCUUAUGGAGAAAAUGACAUUGAUGUUAAAAAAAGUAAAGAUUUUGAACCAAGACCCAACAUUUCAGCUUUUGGAGACAAUGACAUUGAUGUUAAUGAAAAGAAGGGAGAUACUAAAGAUUUCGAACCAAGACCAAAUAUUUCAGCUUAUGGAGACAAUGCCAUUGAUGAUGAUGAAAUGAAGAAACCAAUUAAAGAUUUUAAACCAAAACCAAACAUUUCGGCUUAUGGAGACAAUGUCAUUGAUGCUGAUGAAAUGAAGAAACCAGUCGAAGGUUUUGAACCAAGACCAAACAUUUCAACUUAUGGAGACAAUGUCAUUGAUGUUGAUGAAAUGAAGAAACAACAAGUCAAAGAUUUUGAACCAAGAACCAACAUUUCAGCUUAUGGAGACAAUGACAUUGAUGUUAAAGAAAAGAAGGGAGUCACCAACGAUUUUGAGCCAAGACCCAACAUUUCAGCUUAUGGAGACAAUGUCAUUGAUGCUAAUAAAAUGAAGAAACCAGUUGACGAUUUCCAACCAAGACCAACUAUUUCAGCUUAUGGAGACAAUGCCAUUGAUAAUAGUAAAACGAAUGAAGUCAUCAAAGAUUUUGAAUCAAGACCCAACAUUUCAGCUUACGGUAACAAUGAAGUUGACACUAAGAAAAAAGAAAAAGCUGCCAAAGAUUUUGAACAAAGACCCAUUAUUUCAGCUUAGGAAGACAACAUCAUUGAUGCUGAGAAAGAUGACGAGUUCACAAAGGAUUUUGAACGCAUGCCAAGAGUCACUAAAUAUGAUGCAUAACUUUAAUAAUUAAAAUAAAAUGCUAUUUCAAUUUCUGAUGUAAUACACUUAAUAAGUCAUUGCUACUUUAUGUUCAAUGAUAUUUAGUAUAUGUAUUAUGCAUUAAGCUUUUUGAAUGAAGGAACUUCUCCUUGUUUACUGAUGACAGUCAGUCAUUCACUAUUUUUAGAGUCUUUUUAUGAUAUUUUUGAGUUCACAAGCAAUCUUAAGCAACAAGAAAAGAAAGAAAAGUAAGAAAAAACUGAAGAAACUGAAAAGUGGGCAUCGUGUCACGAUUACUAAAAAGCGUGUCACGAUUUGGAACAUAGGAUGAGUUCAUUCAAGAUUGGUUAAAACGUGUCACGAUGGCUAUUUCGUGACACGAUUUUAAGAACAUGUGGCAAGAGAAAAUAUGAUCAAAAAGAGCAAAACAGGAGGUGUCAAGAAGUAAUGGAAUUAAGAAUUCCUAUUAAUUAAUGGGCUAUGUUGAUCCAAGAGGAGAAAAACGUGAUUAAUUGGAAAGGCAGCUGGGUUAGAUGAACCUAUAUAAAGAAGCAACAAGAGAGCUGCAAAUUAUCUUUCAAAAAAAAAAGAGAGAGCUGCAAAUUAUUCAAGAUGGUGACAUCACGGUUACGGCAAGAAUCACGUUUGGCACUUGUUGGAGAAGAAAAACGGGAACAAGCAUAUCACUAAGGAAGCAACAACGGCAAUUGAAAGAAAAUUGAGGAGCACUGUCGACAACGACUAAACUUUAUUGGUUUAAUUUCUUCUUUAUGUUGUUUGCUUAUUUGAUUAUGUCUAGCUAAACAUGGUUAGUCUAGGAAUGUAUAAUCCUUUACUAGUGAUAUUAGGUUAACGUGCUUAAAACCUUCAAAGAAUAUUAGCUCACCUAAGGAAUUAGGGACUGUAAUAUGAGAAGAGGGUCCUAACUCAAGGGAUGAAUUAUGACUAUUUUGUUAACUAUCGUGGAACUAGAAAAUCAUUCAUAAGAAUAGGUGCAGUAUACCCAUUUGGGGAACAUUGAUGACUCGAAAGACCUAGUCUCAUCUCUCCAUAUAUAGUUUCCAAAACUAUCUUUAUUUUCUGUUUAUUUAAUUUUAUGCAAUCAAAUCAAAUCUACAAACAAAAUAAUUUUUACAUCCUAAAUAUUUACUUUAUUGCUAAAUUGAGAUUAAUACAUUCUUCGUAGAUACGAACUUAUUUUAUUACUUCGAUGCAUGUUUAAUACACUUGCUAAAAGUCUAUCAUUUACCAAGAAUAGGAUAUAGUCUUGGUGAUUACAAGAAUGUUUCUUCGACAUUAAUAACUUCCUUGGCAGAUGUUAAAAUAUGGCGAUAUUUCCUUUAGAUCAAUCGAUCCUUCUUUUUGAAAUUAACCUGCACCGGCCCUUGUAUGUGUUUCAUGCUUCAUGUGCUUGAGCAUAUCACUCUAGUGUUUCCAGUUCCCACCAUUAAUGUCUAUCUUGUUUCCUAUUAUAUAACAACUACAAAAGAAAAAUUAUCUACAUCUAAAGGACUUUGCAUGUCAAGAAGAUACUCAAUCAUACACAAAAUUGUUAACGAAGUUUGAACAAUUUAAAAGAAAAUGUAACAAAAACGAAAAUGAAUUGAGGAAAACAUCUAGCUCGUAGGCCCACAGUUUUAAUUGCAUAUGUAUGUUACCCACGACGUAAACUUCUAUGGCUGAAGGAGUAUUUUUUUUACCAGAACUAUGGCUAAAGGUUAACGUGGGUAUGUGGCAAUUUUCUAGCAGAGCUUGUAUUAUUGCAUUAUCGUAGAACUACUAAUUUUUACUCCAAACACUCGGACAUUUUAUUGACGAGAAUUAAAAUUAGAGGUGGGAAGUUCCCGCGAGAAUGCAUAGUUUAGCUGGCAGGGACAAUACAUUAUUAUUAUAUAUAGAGAUUGAGGUUUGAAUCCCGAACACUCCACUUAUUCAUCUUAAAAAUGAAUUCUAACCAACUACAUCAAAACAACUCAAAUGACAAAGAAUGCAAGCCGUUUGCUAAUAAGUCUUAAAAUUUAUCUUUUUUUUUAAGUAAGUCUUAAAAUUUGAGCUACAACCAUUGAAAAUAAUUUAUAGCUAACAUUACUAUAUAGCGAUGAGGCUAAAUCGUUUCACUUUGAAACGAGCUUCAGCCUUAAGAUGAGAGCGGUUAGGGUUAUGUUUAUGUCAUUGAUCUUUUCCAGAUUUGAGAAACACCCCCGAGCCAAAUUUCAAGUAGGAAAAUCCAAAGUGUUAAAGUUGCUUUUGAAUAAAAUAGAUGAAAUCAUUUGGGCAUGGAGACUUAUAAAUUACCCAUAGUUCAACAAAAGCAACCUGAACCUCAAUGAGGUUACCUCAUUAUCCGUCACCGAUCAUCAACAUAGUUCUAUCAUGCUGAAUAUGCUAAGAUAAUUAUUAUUGGUCCCUUAGUAAAUGGAAACAAACUUUUUUUAAUCACCCUCUUCAUAAAUCUAAGAAUCCUUGGCUCUGUUCGGUAAAAAUAAGCUAUAAGCUAGCUGAUAGCUGAUAAGUUAGCUGAUAGCUGAUGAGUGAUAACUGAUAGCUGAUAGCUGAAAAGCUUGCUUAAUAAAAAUAAUGUGUUUGGUAAAAUUAGUUGUUGAAGUGGCUGAUAAAUAUAAAAUGACAUUUUUUUUUUUAAUAUACAUAUAAACACACAUUUUUUUGUAAUGUAUUUAUUUUUUAAUAUUUUUAAUUAUAGUUAAAUAUGUUUUUGGUCCCUAUAAAUAUUCAAAUUUUUGGUCUUAGUCUCCAUAAAAAAAUUCUUCGACCUUUAGUCCUAAAAAAAAAAUCACUGACAAUUUUGAUCUCUGCUUUAUGUAUCCCAAAAUUAAGAGAAAGGUGGAAACAAAAAGUGAGUUAGAAUAUAUAAAAUUUUACAACGUACAAAAGACUAGUUAUUUUUUCCUUUAAAAAAAAUAGGCUAGUUAUUUUUUUUGUGGUGUACGGCAGGUUAGUUAUAGCAAAAUAUAAAGCAUUUCCUUAAAAUAUAUAUAUAUAUAUAUAUAUAUAUAUAUAUAUAUAUAUAUAUAUAUAUAUAUAAAGUGCUCCUUAAAAAAAAAACUAUGUUGCAUUUUUUUUAAGGGAAAAAAUGGGGCGGUUAUAAAGAUGAACAUGAGUAGUUGUUUAAUUAAAAAAAUAAUUAAUUUAAAUUAAUAGGGUUAAAGUUGGAAGAAAAUAUAAAAAGCUACCAGCUAUAAGCUAAAAAGCUACUUGAAAUAGCUUUUCAAAAAACGCUAUAAGCUCAUGAAAAAAGCUUGUUACCAAACACGUCACGUUUUCAUCUAACGAGCUUAUAAGAUAAUCCAACAAACUAUAAGUUAACUUUUUUGUGUUACCAAACAUAACCCUUCUGUUUUUGGAGAGUAACAAUCCUAUUGUAACGUUUUUACUUGAGCGUUAAGAGAUGGAAGAACAGGGUAUUCAGAUCACCUUGGUUCCCCCUAACUUAUAGCGACACUGUCGGUAUCAGUAGUUGUCAUCAAAUUUGAUAAGCCAAGCCACCUUUAAUCCGCUCAAGUUAUUAAUCAUUCAAAGGCAUUUUCGGAAUUAAUCUUAAGCAGUUCAAGUUAGAAAUGAUUUGUUUAUUUAUGCGUUGGAGUCUAACAUGUCAAAUAUUAAAAUCACAACAUAUAAAUAAAAGCAUAAAUUUUAUUCUUAUCAAUGUUUAAUUUAAAUAUGUCUUCAAUGGCGUACCCUUCUCCCACAAAGACGCAUUUUUAGUAAUGAUGUUGAAAUCAACUUCUAUAGAUUGAGUAAACUCUGCAUUAUUUAAAAGAAAAUUUGAAACAAGAUUUUUUCAAAUUUAUGGAGUGUGCAUCACAUCCUCCUUCAGUAUUAGAGUCUUUCUGGAGAUGAACUUCAUCAUAUUAGUUUAAGUAACACAUGGAUCAAAUAAUCUUGAAACUUAAGUUGGAGUGCGCAAGCGGAUAAGGCUGGUUUUUUGUUUUGUUGCUUAAUAGCAGUUUUAGUCCCCUAACUUUUCUAAAGUUACGAUUUUGAUCCCUUAAGAAAAAGAACUACAAAACUGUCCCCUAAGUUUUGCAUAUGUGGCAGUUUUGACCCCCAAGGUCAAUUUUGACUCGGUCUACGCUCACGUGGCACCUUAAGUGAGGCGCCGCGUGUUAUUUUUCUUUACCAAAAAGUGCUAUUGGGGGGCCAAAACUGCCAGAGUUGCAAAACUUAGGGGCCGGUUUUGUAGUUUUUUUUUCUUAGGGGGCCAAUAUCGCAAAUUCGUGAAAGUUAGGGAGCGAAACUGCUAUUAAGCCUUUCUUUUAAUUGUUAGUUGGAUAAGAUUUAAACGAAACUUGUUCGUUAAGAAAAGCACUACCGGAUAAUGAUAAAAUUUAUUAAUUUAACAUUUUCGAAUGAUAAAAAAAACUUUGGCCUAAGCCCAACCCUAUGGCGUCACCGCAUAUGUGAUAUAUAUUUUCUUGAGCACUCUCGGUUCACAAAAAUGAGUAUCCAAGGCACACUCGUGAGAGUGAUUCUCCUUUUUUACUCAAAAAAAAAAAAAGAAAGAAAGAGUGAUUCUCCUUUUAAACAAACAUUAUUAAUGUGUUUCUUCUUAAAAAUUAAAAGUAAUGCACACAUUUCAAUACUUCCUCCGUCCUAAAUUAUAAGCAAAAAAAAAAAAAAUCACAUUUAUUAAGAAAACUAAAACAUAAGAAUUUGAAGUAUAAUUUUUUGUGUUUUCUUUAAAAAAAAAUUAUAGGAAGAUGUAAAAACAAUUUUCGUUGGCUAUUGGUUAUGGAAAAAGUGAAAGAGAGAGAAAAUUGAAUGUAAUUUGCGUUUAAUUUUAUGAGAAUAAACAAAAGUUUUUCUUGGGAAAAAGAUUUAAAAAAAAAGAUUAAAUAAGAUAAAAAUUUAUCUUUUUUGCUUAUAUUUUAGGACAAAGAAAAUGAGUUUUUUUGCUUAUAUUAUGAGACGGGGGGAAUAUAUGACACUUUUACCGUUUUCAAUUCACACCAUGCUAAUCCUAUCAAAUGUGAGACUUGUGUUUAUUUCAAUCUUCAUUCGUGAUUAAAUAGAAACUAACCAAUUAGAAUAUUGACAUUAGUAAGUACUCUAUGAAUACAAUAUUUAAAAGGAUACUGUUAACUUGUGCCCAUAGAGUAUAUGUUAAUAAACUUAAAAGAAGAAACUUUCUCUAAAAUUUUAUACAUUCAAUUAAUUAAAAAUUAAAAGUAAUGCACACAUUACAAUAAACUAUUUUUAUAUUUAAUUUUCCUAUUUAAAAAAGAUGCAAGAUGCACGUGAUAAGCACCAGACAAGUAUCAAUUUCAAAUCUCAAUAAUAAUCAAAGUGGAGGUGGUUUUCCUUAAAAAAAAAAAAAAAAGUAAGAGGAGGUGGUUGAAGCAAAAUUAACCCGGAUUUGCCCAGCUGUCAUUCCUAGGACGCACCUACAAUCUUAAAACCAAAAUGCUGGUCUAAUAUUAAGCAGUUAUAUUUAAAUGUUUUAAUUUUUUUACACUCAUUCAACACUUAAUUUUCAGAAUUUUUUUAUUUUUAUCUAAAAAAUUGUUUUUUGUUUAUAAGAGGGAAGAGAAAUAUAUAUUUUAAGAUAAAAGAAGAGGUAAAAGAAAAGUGUAAUUUCCUCAAAUUCUUAAUAUUAAUUUAAUAUUAAUAAUAGACACACGUGGUCACGUGCUAUCUACCAUGAUUGCUGAUUUUUUAUUUUUUUUUAGAGGAUGAUUGCUGAUCUUCUAGCUAUAAAUAGGUGAUUUAUUAGUUAUAGGAAUCAUCCACUUCCAUCGAAAUAUAAAAUCAGUGGCUUUUAAUAUCAAAGAUGAGACCUGCUCUUGCUUUAUUUCCCCUCUUGCUUUUCUUGGUAUGUUUUACUUUUCGUGGUUUCAAUUAGUAGAGUGCACUCUAAAUUCUAAUGCUUCAAAAUAAAAAAAACCUCUGAUAUUUUACAUUUAAUUGAACAAUUAUUUUCUUGUUGGAAAGUUUUUGUCUUUUCUUCCGGAUACUGAAAGUUAAUCGAUUAGUACUUCUUAGAGUAAUUUUAUGGAAAAUAUAAGUUAUUUCGUGUUUAUUUAUAUCCAUAAAAUCAUUUUUAAAUCUUCUUUAUCAUUUAUGAUUUCGUUAUAAUCACUGACGUCAAAAUUAUUGUCUGCCUUUCUGCUAUCGUAUUGCACUCAAUUGUUUGUUUAUUUCAUCUUAUUUUGUUAUUAAAUUUCAAUAAUAUAUCCCAAUCAGAUAAAGAUUUUAGGUUUAUUGAUGUGUUUAGCCCUUGCAAUUAGGCGGCAUUUAAAAAUUCGUCCCUGUAAUUGUUAAUCCUGGCAUUUUAACCCUGCAAUUGUUAAUCAUUUAAAAUUUCGUCCCUCUCCCCACUUAAUCACUGCCACGCCACAUGAAAUUCCAAAUUUACCCCUGGGUUUCCAAUUCUUUCUUCAAUAUUUUGUCCUCUUCUUAAGGGCAAAAUUGAAAUUUCAUGUGUGACAGUGAUUGCCACGUCAUCAAAUUAGUGACGUGGCAGUGAUUAAUUUGGUCCAAGGACCAAAUUUUAAACGAUUAACAAUUGCAGGGUUAAAAUGCCAGGAUUACCAAUUACAGGGACGAAUUUUUAAAUGCCGCCUAAUUGCAAGGGCUAAACACAUCAAUAAACCAAGAUUUUAUUCAUAUUGCAGUGGAAUUGCUUAUAUUAAAAUGAGAUGAGAUUUAGUUGAUUUUUUAAUUAAAAAUUUAAAUAGUAUUAUUCAAUACAAAAGAUAAACUUGUAAUUAAAAUAGUUUAACCGAAUGGUAUAAUUAGAAGAUAAAAACUCAGUCCAAAAUCUUGUACCCCCUUCACAUAGAGGUAUAGAUAGGUAUAUAUACCACAAUUAAAUAAAGAUUCAACGUGUCAUGUUUCUAUUAUAGUGAAAUUGUUCAUAUUAUACCGAGAUUUAACCAACUUUUCUAAUUAAAGGUUUAAAUAAUAUUUAAAAAAAAGUAAAAUUGUAAUAAGAAUAGUUAAUGAAGGGCACAACUGAAUGAUAAAAAGUCAUCCUAAAAUCAUAUUUCUUCUUUAUAUAUAUAUAUAUAUAUAUAUAUAUAUAUAUAUAUAUAUAUAUAUAUAUAUAUAUAUAUUGUACAACAGAAACUUGUGUUUAAAAUAAUUUUCAUUAUAAUAAGAUUUUACAUUUUUUUAAAUGUAAUUUAUUUCUUUGCUAAAAAAGUUAUUUAUUUCUCAUUAUUAACAAACUGCCAAGAUUGUGUGACACAAAUAAUAAAUAUUUUGGUCCCUUGACCAUUAGGUCCAUUGCACGGAAGAUGCCUUUUUUGAUUUACCAAAAAAUGAUUAGCAAGCUCGUUGGAAAUCCUUAAAUAUAAUUAUUUUAUAAAAAAAUCUCAAAUUAAAAAGUUCUUAUUUGAGCUAAUUAGCCAUACUUAUACGACUCACAUUGGUUAUUCACUUGAGUGAGUGUUUUUUUUCUGCAAAACAUUCAAGUGAGUGUUGGGGACCUGACCAAUAGCAAAAUAAAAAUAAAAAAACACAUAAAUAUUAUAUAAAUAUGACAUUGAUUAAUGUAAUCUUAUAAUUGAUAUUUACUAAUUCUAUUUAAAAGUUUAUUAUGUUCCAUUUAUUUCUCUUAAAAUCGCAAGCUCUCCCCCAAAAAACAUCUCCUCCACUUAAGAUCAAUCCACCUAAAUUUCUCUCCGAGAGUCAUUUUAAUCACUUUUACUUCUUAUUGAAUAGAAACCUAAAACAUCAUGAGAAAACAAAUUCUUAAAAGAAUAUCUCAAUUAAUGAUUAUUUUAAAAAUAUGUAGAUCAACCAUCUCUAAUAUUCUUGAAGUUAUUAUCGGAUAAAGAACAAUAGAUUCUGGUUGACAUGUUCCCGAUAAGAAGAUCUACUCUCAUCAGUUUGAGAAAAUGGGGCAUUCUUAAGGAACAUAAAACAAUUAUCAAUGAUUUUCCAAAUUUUAGGAUCAAUUUAUUAGGAUACAAGUUAAUAUGGUGGCUUUGCUGCUUAGAAAAGGCUUCCACAUUUUAUCUCAACUCCAACACUGCUUACGAUGUUCAAUAUGAUCUCCCUAUCCUUAAAAAAAAGAAUAUAAUAAAUAAUUAUGAGUGUUUUUUCCUUUUCGGUUAGGGAAUAAAUUUCUCUUUUAAACGAUUCUAUAUUAAAAAAGAGAGCUAUACAACUGCACAUAUAGACCAUUAUUUUUUCAUAUAUCUUAUUAAUUUCUUAUUUUGCGAUAAAGUUUGUAGCAAUUGUAGAAACAAGAAAAGAUUUGGGACAAUAUCGAAAACUAGUCAUGAAAGAUGAAGACAUGCGAAAAGAAAUUCAAGGGCUUCUUUACACCGAGACGAAAAAGAAUCUCAAGACUCCAAAGCAGUGUUUCAAAGGUUUUAAACAUGAUUGUGAAGAGCCAUUUGUAAUAGACACACAAGUCACCAUAGAAAAUGACAUCAUCCGUGCUAAGAGAAAGAAGGGAGUCACUAAAAAUUUUGAACCAAGACCAAAUGUUUCAAAAUAUGAAGAUAAUGACAUUAAUGCUGAGGAAAAGAAGAGAGUCGUCAAAGACUUUGAACCAAGACCUAAUGUUUCAGCUUAUGGAGCAAAUGAAAUUGAUGCUAAGGAUAAGAAGGGAGUUAUUGAUGAUUUUGAACCAAGACCCAAUGUUUCAGCUUAUGGAGACAAUGACGUUGAAGCUAAGAAAAAGAAGGGAAUCACUGAAGAUUUUGAACCAAGAUACAAUGUUUCAGCAUAUGGAGACAAUGGUGUAGAAGUUAAGGGAAAGAAGAAAGUCGUUAAAGAUUUCAAACCAAGACCAAAUGUUUCAGCUUAUGGAGACAAUGGUAUUGAUGUUAAGGAAAAUAAAGGAGCCAAUACGGAUUUUGAACCAAGACCAAAUUACGUUUCAGCAUAUGGAGACAAUAAUAUUGAUGUUACAGAAAAUAAAGGAGCCAAUAAAGAUUUUGAACCAAGAC
RNAcentral lists this long non-coding RNA (10040 nucleotides) under Medicago truncatula (barrel medic). RNAcentral describes it as "long non-coding RNA (MTRU_LNC001332)". Lineage: Eukaryota; Viridiplantae; Streptophyta; Magnoliopsida; Fabales; Fabaceae. The record is from RNAcentral.